GUAACUUUUUAUAGAACACUGAAACUAAUUUUACAUGGCAGGGGGGCAUUUAUGUCUUACAGACAUUUUCUUGUUUGAAGGAAAGUUCCAUGGUCAAAUGCAAGCCAAAUUUAUGAAUUACAUGUGGAUCUAAUCUGCAAGGGGUUUGAGCCCAACAGAGGUAAAAUUGACUAAAUUUUCAAUGGUCUUCUUAUUCAGGCACAGAAAUGCUAGAAUCAAAUACUCUUCAUAGAUGGAAUUAAGGUCCUGUAGGCCUGUUCCAAAUUUAUGAAUAUUUUACUACCUCUGGAUCAUUCAUUCCUCCUUGAGAAGGGGUUAAUGUUUAGGCUUAAGCAAAAAAAAAAGUUUUUCAUGCAACAUUCCAGAGAAUCUCAUUUUAAUUUCAUGGAUCAAUAUACUUACAGGGUAAUAACAAAUGUAAGAAUUUAAAUGAAUUUCUAUGCAUUUCAAUGGUUGUUAUUCUGUCAAGAAUGUGGUCAGGAUCCCAUGACCAUAACAGGAAGAAAGUGUAUGUGAUCUUUGCCGGACUAUUAAUUAAAAUGAUCUUCAUGGAUACAAAGUAGGUGAUAAAAUGUUCCCUACGGUCCACAGGAAAAUUUAAGGUCUGGUUUGGUAAGCAUGAAGUGUUAUGAAGUGCCAGUUUGCCAACCUGAUCACUGGUUUUUGACAGCAGACCGUCUACUUCAUUGAUACUCUGAAUAACUCCUGCAGUGAAGAGGCAUUUCCUGAACAAUGGAGCGACAUCCUCGAGACACAAUAACAGAAGCUUUCUAAAGACAUGCAAACCAUGAGAUGGAAACUUGCUUUGUAAUUCACUACCAGUGACUGGCAGUCCUGAAACAGAAUGUCCAACUUUUCUUGGCAAAUCCAGACCUACCAUCAGGAUGCAGUGUCAUGUAAGACACUGCAAGAGCUUUGUCUUUCUGGGAUUCCUAAGCCUUUGAAUGGAGAAAACAAGACAUUGCUGCAUAUAUGACGAUGAAAAUACCAUAUUGUUGGACAUUAAUUAAAAAGAGCAUUGACCAAUGACAUGUAUACCGUGGCUAGUGAUUGAUAAUUGUUGUGAUUUUUCUGAUUUGGCCAUACAGUCAGAAUGAAGGAAAGACAAAUAUCAUGGUUCAUGAACUUCAGAUACACUUUUAAGCUCCUCUGGUACAAACUGUCAUAAUCUUAUGGUAUAGUGAAGUGUCUGUCAUAAGUCUGUCUGUCAACUUUUUCUUUAAAUUACUUUUUUAAAUUGAAAAUCACAGGGCCCUUAUAUUUGGUCAGCAAGUACUUGGGAUAAAUACUUUAAAGUUUCAUCAUGUAGAUUACCUUGACCUUCUUUCAAGGUCACAGGUGUCCAAAACAGGCAUCAGUUUCUUAAAAACUGGUCUUGAGUCAUGAUAUUUCAUGAUGAUUAUAUUUUAUUCAGUAUUCCUUUGCAUUGCUUUGUUUAAAAAAUAUUUUUUUCAAAUUGUUCCAUCAAAUAUAUGUACAUGUAUGUAGAUAUAUGUAAUGACAGCAUACUUGUUGAUAACUUUGUCGUAGCGAUUGUUUUGUUAACUUUUAUGCAUAUUGAUAUUUUUUUAUGAAAUUAAAUCAUUGUUUAUCUUC
Molecule: long non-coding RNA, 1596 nt
Filed under: Mizuhopecten yessoensis (Yesso scallop)
Lineage: Eukaryota; Metazoa; Mollusca; Bivalvia; Pectinida; Pectinidae
Description: uncharacterized LOC110447034, transcript variant X3
Source: RNAcentral